This 28-nucleotide non-coding RNA is filed under the name Rattus norvegicus (Norway rat). Lineage: Eukaryota; Metazoa; Chordata; Mammalia; Rodentia; Muridae. The record is from RNAcentral.
UGAGCAUCACCCUACACGGACUUGGCUC